RNAcentral lists this ribosomal RNA (253 nucleotides) under uncultured bacterium. RNAcentral's name for it is "partial 16S ribosomal RNA". It matches the Rfam family "Bacterial small subunit ribosomal RNA", at positions 524 to 776 of the family's 1533-position model. The record is from RNAcentral.
UACGGAGGGCGCAAGCGUUUCUCGGAAUUACUGGGCGUAAAGCGCGUGCAGGCGGUCGAGUAAGUCGGUUGUGAAAUCCCCAGGCUCAACCUGGGAACUGCAUCCGAAACUGCUCGGCUAGAGUCCCGGAGAGGGAGGCGGAACUCCCAGUGUAGGGGUGAAAUCCGUAGAUAUUGGGAAGAACACCGGCGGCGAAAGCGGCCUCCUGGACGGUGACUGACGCUGAGACGCGAAAGCGUGGGGAGCAAACAGG